GUUUUUAUAGUUUACACAAAACACUAGAUUGUGAUUCUAGAAAUAGAGACUACUCUUGAAAACC
Molecule: transfer RNA, 64 nt
Filed under: Leposoma baturitensis
Lineage: Eukaryota; Metazoa; Chordata; Lepidosauria; Squamata; Gymnophthalmidae
Description: tRNA-His
Rfam family: tRNA
About the family: Transfer RNA (tRNA) molecules are approximately 80 nucleotides in length. Their secondary structure includes four short double-helical elements and three loops (D, anti-codon, and T loops).
Source: RNAcentral